This 452-nucleotide ribosomal RNA is filed under the name uncultured Chitinophagaceae bacterium. Its description in RNAcentral is "bacterial SSU rRNA". It matches the Rfam family "Bacterial small subunit ribosomal RNA", at positions 342 to 791 of the family's 1533-position model. The record is from RNAcentral. Lineage: Bacteria; Pseudomonadati; Bacteroidota; Chitinophagia; Chitinophagales; Chitinophagaceae.
CGGGGGGCAGCAGUAAGGAAUAUUGGUCAAUGGACGCAAGUCUGAACCAGCCAUGCCGCGUGAAGGAUGACGGCCCUCUGGGUUGUAAACUUCUUUUAUCUGGGACGAAAAAAGGGCUUUCUAGCUCGACUGACGGUACCAGAGGAAUAAGCACCGGCUAACUCCGUGCCAGCAGCCGCGGUAAUACGGAGGGUGCAAGCGUUAUCCGGAUUUACUGGGUUUAAAGGGUGCGUAGGUGGGUCUGUAAGUCAGUGGUGAAAUCUCCGAGCUUAACUCGGAAACUGCCAUUGAUACUAUAGGUCUUGAAUUAUCUGGAGGUAAGCGGAAUAUGUCAUGUAGCGGUGAAAUGCUUAGAUAUGACAUAGAACACCAAUUGCGAAGGCAGCUUACUACGGAUUGAUUGACACUGAGGCACGAAAGCGUGGGGAUCAAACAGGAUUAGAUACCCGGGU